This 563-nucleotide long non-coding RNA is filed under the name Sorghum bicolor (sorghum). RNAcentral's name for it is "long non-coding RNA (SBIC_LNC011162)". Lineage: Eukaryota; Viridiplantae; Streptophyta; Magnoliopsida; Poales; Poaceae. The record is from RNAcentral.
GAUAUCGUCGAGGACGGCUGCCUUGCACGAGUCGCACUGGAAGCAUAGCGUUUCCUGCUGGUUGCUCCACCUGCCGCAGUCGUCGCUGUUGUUAGUUGGGCCGGCGCCUUGUGUUGGUGUCCACGUCGUCUGAUUCACGUACGUGAAUGCACACGAUAAUGGUGGUUUGCAGCAUCCUGACUGUCCAUAUGCAAUCACAGGAUGAGGUCAGAUCAGAGUAUUCCAGUACUUAACAUACACAAAAAAAAGACGUGGAAACAAGCGAUGAGAUAGAGGAAGCAUGCACACCUGGAUCGGCGAGAGGCCCUGCUCGGAGUAGAGAACGCUUGUGUUUGGGUCGCGUACCAUCGGGCUCGUACCAUCGCAGGCGUGCCUGCGGCGCAGGCACUUGCUGAUUGUGGCCCAGUACCUGGCAUUAGCCAUGCGACGCUUGAGCGAACCGCCGUAGUCACUGAGGUUGUACUCGCGGACCGAGUUGACCUCAAUGGGAUCGAUGUCGAUGCCGGCGAUGCCAAAUUUGGACUCCUCAGGCGUGUAACACCCUUGGACCGCCUGCGAUCGCC